GUUAGAUUGGCAGAAAAAGUGCUUUAAAUUUAGAAUUUAAAAAUGUAAUUGAUAUUAUGUCUAAUA
Molecule: transfer RNA, 66 nt
Filed under: Magadhaideus sp. n. SX-2018
Lineage: Eukaryota; Metazoa; Arthropoda; Insecta; Hemiptera; Achilidae
Description: tRNA-Leu
Source: RNAcentral